AGGGGAUUAGCUCAAGGGUAGAGCGCUACUUUUACACAGUAGAUGCAGAGGUUCGAGUCCUCUAUUCCUUA
This is a non-coding RNA of Naganishia onofrii, 71 nucleotides long. Lineage: Eukaryota; Fungi; Basidiomycota; Tremellomycetes; Filobasidiales; Filobasidiaceae. The record is from the annotation of a GenBank genome assembly.